CACACCAGCUCCCGCUCCCGCUCGCCCUCGGCGGAGAGUUGCAGCAGCUGCGGGCUCGCCCGGGGCCGGGGGGGCGCGUGUGCGCUGUGCGCUGUGCGCGUGCAGACGGGGGGCGCAUCGCUAACAAAUCGAACCCGCCAUAAAGGCCCGCCCGGGUCUGCAAACACCCGGCCGCCCUUUGCCGAGAGCCCGCCGGUCGGCUCGCCCCGCACCGCGCACCUGGCCCUGGAGCCGCCGGCUGCAGCCCGAGCGCCCAGCUAGACCGCAGGGUGAACUGCCCAGCGCCCCGGAGGCUUCCCGAGCAGGACCUUACCUCGCCCCAUGGCUCAGGCCUGAGAAGUGCCUCCUGUCAGUCACGGUGCCGUCCCUUGCAUGGCUUGGCAACAUCUCUGUCACUUGGCACCCAGGCUUAUCCUCGUCCUGUGAUUGCUCCUGGUGACUCAUCCAUUUGUGCUUAUAUCCGGUCGUCUGUGGCUCGGGCAGGUGCCGUGCCCAUGAGAGCUGGGCUGCCGACCAAGACGGCAGCAGAGGCCUCUGCCAUGAGCUGGAUUUAUCCUGGUCUGUCCCCUUCACCUUGGAGAGAGCACUUAGGCAUAGAUCACCCCCCUUCGCAGUGAUCGCUUACGGCGUAUGUCAGUAGGAACGUGGUUGCUGAUGGGAGACCCCCUUUGGCUAGCGAAGACAAGAAAGGGGUUUUGUUGAAAGUUCUUAAGUAUCCUCAGAUCCUCAGAAGGGUCAGAAUGCAGGCUUUGAAGCUGGACAGCCAGGAAAGACUUCAACCACACCGUAGGGGCUGCUCUGGCAACACCGCACUGCCGCCGCGUCCAUCCUGAUGACAUUGGGCUUGGACUCUGAAGGCUCAGUCACUGCUGAGCUCCAGGAAGAACUGAAAGCUUCGCCACAGUGUUUUCUAGAAGCUCAGAUCCCUUGGGCACAGCCACCACCACACAAAGCCACAUACUGAAGUCCUGUCUCCCAUGGGUGUGUCUGAUUAGCAGAACCUGGGCCACAUGACUGCAUCCCAACUGUGAAGUGCGGGGAUUUGAGUUUCUGGAAUUGGCCUGGGAAGGUGAGAAUCAUCAUGGGAUGUUAGAGAGAGGGGAUUGGGUGGCCACAAACACAAGACAAACACCUGCUCCACCUGCGGCAGGCUGGACAACAGGCCGAGCACUCCGUGUCUCUCAUUCUACCCUUGUCCUUAUAGUUAGGGAACCAAGUAUCAGCAAGGGGAAGUGACGUGUCCCAGGUUGCAAGGAGCCCAGACUCUAGAACCUUCAUCCACCUUCCAAACUCAGGGUUAGAUGGAAAAAUAUCAACAGAUCCCCAGCCACCUACAUGCACUAAUGCUGGCCUGGGGCCCCAACCACAAGGGAACCAUUUUGUGUGGCAAAUGCAGUCACAGGGUGAGCUCUGUUCUCUUGCUCACUCACUCCUUUGAUUGAAGCAGGAAACCACUUACGGUUCGUCCAUCCAUUCACAGCCAGAUCUUACGAAAUUCGUCAUGUGCUCAUGGUCAGAGGGCUUGGGCUCUGGUGCAGCUUCCUGCUGCUCGGCCUUGGGCCUCGUGCAUUCUCGAGCCUCAUCUGUAAAAUGGGCAUCCAAAUCUCGCCCCACUGUCUUCCCUCCAAGACUGUCAUCUGGAUCAAACGUAAGAGUGCAGAGUCAAUGAGUGAACUGCAGGACAGCUCUUGCUUCAUUGAUCUUAUUCCUCACCAGCAACCUGUGGAUAAAGGAAUCUGAAUGCCUGUUGGCAGUUGCAGUCACUCUGCUUCAAAAGGAGAGAUGAGCAGGGCCAUAGGAGCUCUCGGUGUUGUCUGCUCAGAAAAUACUGGAUGAAGGCUUGUUUCUUUGCCUUGAAUGGAGACCACACCCCAUGGACCAUUAACAGAUGCUACUGGGGACGGAUGGCCACAGUCUGUCUGCGUCCACCUGGGUGCAGGCAGCAGCAAAGACCCCCAAACAGUGCCAUUCUUGGGUUAUCCACAGGCAGAGUGCUGGUCCCGCAGGGCAGUUCAGAGCAGGAAGCCAAGGCCUCCCUGGGGGGGAGAUGUGGACAGGGAAGGCCCAUGGGCUGCUGGGGAGGGGCGCCCACUGGGGCAGACUGGCCUGGCCUUGGAGCUGCUACGGGAGGUGCCUUGAUCAGGGUUAUCGGAGAGCCCAGCAGCCUUGCACAUCUGUGGUGAGAUGCUCCAUAGCUCAGCCUCAGAGCCUCAGGCCCCAAAUGUGACUCUCAUGACCCUGCUUCCAGAGGCUUAGAGUCCAGCAGGUGAGAAAGAUAGAUCGACCAAGCUCAACACCAGCCUGCAGCAGAGCAUCUUCAUUUUUACUGACAUCUGCUGUUUUCUUUCCCUCACCAGCAGAAACUCGGUUUUCUUUGGGUGGCGAUGUACCACCCUGAAGAGGCGGUGUAAGCUUUUAAGCCAGAGUUUCUCCGAGGGGGUCAUUGGACCAGCAGCAUCAGCGUCACCUGGGAACUUGUUAGAAAUGCAGACUCUUGGGAUGCCCGGGUGGCUCAGUGGUUCAGUGUCUGCCUUGGGCUCAGGUUGUGAUCCCAGAGUCCCGGGAUC
This is an RNA transcript of Canis lupus familiaris (dog), 2567 nucleotides long. It is a transcript of the gene named translation initiation factor IF-2-like, with no coding region annotated. The transcript has 3 exons. The record is from RefSeq and is a predicted model, not a curated record. Lineage: Eukaryota; Metazoa; Chordata; Mammalia; Carnivora; Canidae.